Molecule: ribosomal RNA, 548 nt
Filed under: uncultured Pseudomonadota bacterium
Lineage: Bacteria; Pseudomonadati; Pseudomonadota
Description: bacterial SSU rRNA
Rfam family: Bacterial small subunit ribosomal RNA
Source: RNAcentral
UGGGGAAUUUUGGACAAUGGGCGCAAGCCUGAUCCAGCCAUGCCGCGUGUAGAAUGAAGGCCUUCGGGUUGUAAAGUACUUUUGUCAGGGAGGAAAUGGCUCUGGCUAAUACCGGGGGGGGAUGACGGUACCCUAAGAAUAAGCACCGGCUAACUACGUGCCAGCAGCCGCGGUAAUACGUAGGGUGCGAGCGUUAAUCGGAAUUACUGGGCGUAAAGCGUGCGCAGGCGGUUUUAUAAGCCAGAUGUGAAAUCCCCGGGCUCAACUUGGGAACUGCGUUUGCAACUGUAAGGCUAGAGUGCGGCAGAGGGGGAUGGAAUUCCGCGUGUAGCAGUGAAAUGCGUAGAUAUGCGGAGGAACACCGAUGGCGAAGGCAAUCCCCUGGGCCUGCACUGACGCUCAUGCACGAAAGCGUGGGGAGCAAACAGGAUUAGAUACCCUGGUAGUCCACGCCCUAAACGAUGUCAACUGGUUGUUGGGUCUUAAAUGACUCGGUAACGAAGCUAACGCGUGAAGUUGACCGCCUGGGGAGUACGGCCGCAAGGUUG